AGAGCGAACGCUGGCGGCAGGCUUAACACAUGCAAGUCGAGCGGGCAUAGCAAUACGUCAGCGGCAGACGGGUGAGUAACGCGUGGGAACAUACCUUUUGGUUCGGAACAACACAGGGAAACUUGUGCUAAUACCGGAUAAGCCCUUACGGGGAAAGAUUUAUCGCCGAAAGAUUGGCCCGCGUCUGAUUAGCUAGUUGGUGAGGUAACGGCUCACCAAGGCGACGAUCAGUAGCUGGUCUGAGAGGAUGAUCAGCCACAUUGGGACUGAGACACGGCCCAAACUCCUACGGGAGGCAGCAGUGGGAAUAUUGGACAAUGGGCGCAAGCCUGAUCCAGCCAUGCCGCGUGAGUGAUGAAGGCCCUAGGGUUGUAAAGCUCUUUGUGCGGGAAGAUAAUGACGGUACCGCAAGAAUAAGCCCGGCUAACUUCGUGCCAGCAGCCGC
This 445-nucleotide ribosomal RNA is filed under the name uncultured bacterium. RNAcentral describes it as "SSU rRNA". It matches the Rfam family "Bacterial small subunit ribosomal RNA", at positions 26 to 518 of the family's 1533-position model. The record is from RNAcentral.